UGAUGUUGAUGACUUAAUAAUAUCAGUUUUAUCAAAAGUCAUUGUAUCAGUGGCUCCACAAUCAAAAAUCCACCCUUUAUCUCUAUCCCUAUUAUUACCUGACAUCUGGUACACAGCGGAAAAGUUUGAAGGCCUUUUAGGGUCAAUAUCAUGAUUAUGCAUUUUUUGGGGUUGGUUUUGCAUAAAAUGGGGUAUACUAUAUAAAUCCCUAAAUUUCGAGGGACUAGGCUGCAAAUGGGGGCUAUUCUGAUAUUUAAUAAGAGUAGGUGGGUCUUUUUGCAUAACAUGGGGUAAUUUCUGCAAUUCAUUAGAAUCAAGGGGUGGCUUUUGUAAUAUCUCGGAACUUGGGGGGUUAGUUGGCAUAAAAUGGGGUCUUUUAUGAUAAUAAGGAAAAGAUGGAGGGUUUGGUGUGAAAACACCAAACCCUAUACCUGCUUUUAAUUCUCCCCAAUUUCCUCCAGCCGCCUCCCCCUUAAUUCCCGAUACUCCAUUCUGCCCAGCGUCAGGAGCCCCGAGUUGAUAUCCGACCCGAGAUCCGGCUGCGCCAGCACCCGAUCCGCGAUCAUCUCCACCGUCACGUUCAUCCUCGCCGUGCGCCGUGCCCGCGCCCUCCCCGCGGGGCCGCGCGCCUUGCCGACCGCCGCGCCGCGGUAGAACAGCGCCGACGUCGUCUCCGGGUACCGGAAUGACGCGAAGUUGGGGUUCUUCACCGACACGUCGGCGGUCAGCGACAUGUUGCUGCCUGGCCGUGGCGUGGCGAUGCCGUUGAUCAGAUCCGCGCCGCAGCAGCUGCAGCAGCGGAGGAGUUGCCGCUGCUGUUUGACGGUGAAUUUGAUAUCUCGGAGAGUUCGAUGAAGAGCUGCCUGAGCGGUUUGGCUGACCUCUGCCGGUGGUGGUCGGCUGAAAGCCGUCUUCCGGCCGAGGCGUAUGGCAGUGGACGGUGGCAAUCCCGGUCCCGAUGGCUCCCGAUGAUGAAGGGUCCGGGUUGGUUGCCGGCUGUAGCCGGGCGGCCUCCCAUCUCACUCUUGAGAAUGCCGACUCGGCUGAGGGAACUUCCUUGAGAAUGUCCCGACGAAGUCUGUCAUAUCUCCUAUCAAAUCCGGAGAGGAACUGAAAUAAUCGGUGAUUUCCGAUCAGUUUUCUGUGCUUAUUGAUCCCUUCUUCACACCAGUCGAGUGGAUUUGGGAAAUGAAGAACAGAGGUUUUGGUUUGGUGUAUUGGUUAGGAAUGGUUUGGUGUAUUGGCUAGGAAUGGUUUUGGUUUUGGAUUAUGAACGAUGAUGAUUCGUUUCUGAGUUCCUAUGGUUGAACCUGCUGAACCUGCUCUGAUACCAUGUUAAAACAUGCUAUUAUCAUAAUGCAUAGAGAAAGAUAAAGAGAAGCAAAUGAUUGUUAUUGUAUUUCUCUUGAUGUUGUAUUGCUCCUUAUUUCUGAAGAAUUCUAUCAUCUUUUAUAAUGUAUUACAUGAUAUUAAAGUCUUACCAGGAUCCCUAUGAUUAAGGGAUCCGUGGUAAAUCUUUGACAGAUAAAUAAAGGCACGCUGCUUCUCUUUC
Molecule: long non-coding RNA, 1552 nt
Organism: Salvia miltiorrhiza (redroot sage)
Lineage: Eukaryota; Viridiplantae; Streptophyta; Magnoliopsida; Lamiales; Lamiaceae
Exons: 2
Source: RefSeq, a predicted model, not a curated record